GCCCCGGUGGCUCAGCUGGUAGAGCGCAUGCCACAUACGCAGCAGCUCAGGUUCAAAUCAGGCCUGGGCCC
This 71-nucleotide transfer RNA is filed under the name Albula goreensis. RNAcentral's name for it is "tRNA-OTHER". The record is from RNAcentral. Lineage: Eukaryota; Metazoa; Chordata; Actinopteri; Albuliformes; Albulidae.